This 98-nucleotide non-coding RNA is filed under the name Ctenophora environmental sample. Lineage: Eukaryota; Metazoa; Ctenophora. The record is from RNAcentral.
GGUGUUGCCGUAUUUUGGAUCUGGUCUGAAAAUACGGAGAUGAAUCAUCUGCACCCAUCGCAGGACCCACAAUGCUGGUCUCAGUCUGUCGACCCAAG